UGCCCAUUUCAGAGUCCAGUCUGGUGGGA
This 29-nucleotide non-coding RNA is filed under the name Homo sapiens (human). Lineage: Eukaryota; Metazoa; Chordata; Mammalia; Primates; Hominidae. The record is from RNAcentral.